RNAcentral lists this long non-coding RNA (686 nucleotides) under Pan troglodytes (chimpanzee). RNAcentral describes it as "long non-coding RNA NONPTRT005816". Lineage: Eukaryota; Metazoa; Chordata; Mammalia; Primates; Hominidae. The record is from RNAcentral.
CCAGAACACAGACCAUGACUGCUCUGAGGACGGAAUGGCACAGAGGCCAUGACUGCUAUAAGGACUGAAUGGGCACAGAGGCCGUGACUGCUGUAAGGACUGAAUGGCACAGAGACCGUGACUGCUGUAAGGACUGAAUGGGCACAGAGGCCGUGACUGCUAUGAGGACUGAAUGGGCACAGAGGCUAUGACUGCUAUAAGGACUGAAUGGCACAGAGGCUAUGACUGCCAUAAGGACUGAAUGGCACAGAGACCGUGACUGCUGUAAGGACUGAAUGGCACAGAGGCCGUGACUGCUGUAAGGACUGCAUGAAUGGGCACAGAGGCUAUGACUGCUAUAAGGACUGAAUGGCACAGAGACCGUGAGUGCUCUAAGGACUGAAUGGGCACAGAGGCCGUGACUGCUGUAAGGACUGAAUGGGCACAGAGACCGUGACUGCUGUAAGGACUGAAUGGCACAGAGACCGUGACUGCUGUAAGGACUGAAUGGCACAGAGACCGUGACUGCUGUAAGGACUGAAUGGCACAGAGACCGUGACUGCUGUAAGGACUGAAUGGGCACAGAAGCUAUGACUGCUAUAAGGACUGAAUGGCACAGAGGCCGUGACUGCUGUAAGGACUGAAUGGGCACAGAGGCUAUGACUGCUAUAAGGACUGAAUGGCACACAGGCUAUGACUGCUGUAAG